UUGUAGGGAUUGCUUUAUUGCUCAGCAGAGAAGGGUGCCAAUGAAGCACUGGCAGGUGUUGUGGGUCACAGCCACAGCAAAAGGCAUAGGUUAAAAUACAUAUUUGGUUCCCGGACCUCCCCUGGCAGAUUUUACAAGUCAGUUAUUGACCUGCAUUGAUCCUUAUCCUGGAGGCCCUCACUGUGUGGCUUUUGGCUGUGGCAAAUCCAUGGGGCUGUCAAUGUCCACCCCAGAUCAUGGGGAGCCAAAAAGACAAUUAGUAAAGGGGAGAAAAAGAAAUAAAAAUAUUCUCCAGGCUGGUUUCCAUGUUUUAGCCAAGGGAGAAAAAAUGUACAGCCAAGUCCUAAACCCCAGUAGUGAGGGAUUGCUAUUGGAACGCAUGAUGUGGCCUUAAACACAACAACAUAAAUCAUGCUGCUCUCAUUAUGUAAUGUGAAUUUCAAAUAUAUGAUGUAUAGGAGCCCUGCAGUUGCAAAUCUGUGAUCAUUUUUAUGUCUGCACAGGUGUCAUUGGAGCUGCAUGACCAACCCAAUAAGUUAAACCUUCAUUUCCUGCUAUAAAGUUGGGUGGUUUAGCCAAGGCACUAGGUUGAUUGUGUAGAUACAGAUAAGUCACCUUUUAGUACUUUCAGACAGAGACUAGGGACCAUCCAAUGUGAGUCUGCCUGCUGUUUCCAGAGAUGACCAUGCUUCCUACAUAAUGUCUGUGAAGAGAGGGGUAUCUAAAUAGGAACUUGUGGGAGUUCAGCAAGCCAAGCACACCUUCUUCUUUUUUUUAACUCCCAUGCAGAUUCCUCUAUCUAGCAGCCAACAGCUUUGGUAACACACAAACAUGCAAAGCUUAGUUUCCUACCAUGUAGAAAGUCUCCUUUAAAAUGCUGUGUAUCUUCAGCUUGACUGCAAUGGCUAGUCCCAACACCGGGCCCUCAAACAUAUAUUUACAUAAUGAACUAAGCCAAAUAUAAGUGCCAGUCUCAGUAAAACCUUUAUUUGUGACAAUCUGGUGAUCCUGUGAAAUGAUCCUGUGAAAGAUUGAGCCUCCAACGCUCCCAGAAGCUGAAAUAAGAGUUGAAGAUGCAUUGCAUUUUACAGGAUUAUGUUCCUAUUUACAUGAUGGACUAUUGAUGUCUCCAAGUUACUUCUAAAUCUCAUUUUUAAACAAAAAUGUUUUUCAAAUUAUGUAAAUAUCUUGGGAAAUUAGGCACUUUUUUUCCUCUAAGCAGCUGCACUAGUUUUCCAGCACUGUGACACUCGCCAGGGAGCAGGAGGUUUGGGUGCUGCGUAUGUGCUUCAGCCAGCUCUUCACAUCUGAGUUAAAGAGGCACUGCAUCAUUUCAGUCUGCAAGGGGAACCUGAACCUCCCUGCAGGAGUGCCACACUCAGGCUCCACAUCCAAAUGCUGAAGUGUUCUAGAGCCUUUCCUGUCCCUCUAUAGGGAGAAUGCAGCUCAAAUGAAGGCAGCCAAGACCAGAGAAGUCAGACUACAGCCCAUGUCUGUCACAGGGCUGAGCUUCAUGUACCAUUUUGAAAUGGUGCCAAGUUUCUCCUUAGUCCCGACACCUGCUUCUGUGAUUUCUAUUUGUUAGAAAUUAAAUGGAGCAGGAGGCAGAGCAUCCUUAGUAGGAGUGUGCCAAGAGUUUACUGAUUUCUAUUUACUUAAUAAAUCUGCUCAUGUUUCAAAAAGU
Molecule: long non-coding RNA, 1684 nt
Organism: Pseudopipra pipra
Lineage: Eukaryota; Metazoa; Chordata; Aves; Passeriformes; Pipridae
Exons: 3
Source: RefSeq, a predicted model, not a curated record